AACUCUUUAUUAAAAUUAAAAGUACGAGUAACUUAAAUAAAAAACGAUCUUAAUUUGCAUAGAGAUUUUUCUAAUCUAAAAUACCACUUGCUGUGCCUAUUUGGAAGAACCGUGUAGACCUAGACUAAUGACAUCUCAGCUAAAUCCUACAUUUUACUUCCCUUUUACAAGUCUUUUAGACACCUCUUAUCUAAAGUUGUUUUGGGGAGGUGUAACCGUAUACCAGCCAUUUAUUUGCAGCUUAAGCUCAAAAUUACCAGCAGUCUUUGAGAAUCACUGAUAAAGAGCUCUCACUCUCACUGGUUGAGAUGAGGUGGUUACUUCUCCUUCGCAGUAAGGAUCCAAUCAUCUUUUCCCCAACCCGUUAUGUUCCAGUCUUUCUAACUAGGUCAUAAACUGGGGAAAAUGAGACAAUUUCAAGCCAGUCAUCUUUCUAAAAAUAAAGGUUUGUUUCCCCGGAUGAAUACAUUUUUGGUGUAAGGAGAGGAGGACCAUCCGUUCCAUCUCUCUCUAACUGCUCUUCCUCCUGGGUCCCUCUCCCCCUCCUCUCUGACGGCUCGGUCUUGGAUAUACACUAAAAGCUUUCAUUAUUAUGGGCCCUGUAGGGUUUUUCACUCCUACACAGCCGUCAUCUUUGAAAGGCCUUCUGUGAACACACGCCAUUCACAAGCUACAUCGUUGAACUGUGGUCUACGUCCCCAGUACCACUCUAUGUUCCCAGCGUUCCUCUCUGGGACGGUCCACUCAGCCCACCCCCAGGGCUAGGACAUCCUCACCCCCCUGGCUUGCUAAUCAGGGAGCCCAAGCUAUGCAAAGACAUCUUUUUCCAUUACUUCUUAACCUAUGGCCCUUGGAAAUAUUUUGGAGUGCUGGGAGACCAUUCAAAUAAUGCUCCCUUUUAACUGUCCUCUGUGCCAUGCAUCUAAAAUAUUAAUGUUCAAAGCCAAGAUAAACGAAGUCUCAGGAAACAGGUCUCCUUUGGGAGAAUUCGGGUCUUCGUUCAUUGGGGGCUUCUGUGAAAUCUGUUACCAAUAAUGCAAAGGGAAAAGUGCUCUUUGGGAUAGGAGCUGAAUAUGGGGAUUCAUGCCCUUGAAGGUCACCCUCAAUUAGACAAAGACAUUGUCAGGGGGAUUACAUUAAAAGAUACCACUUCCACCCCCUUCGUAAAGAAUUUCAAGGGCCAGAGCCCUGCUGCCUGACCAGUAGGCAGUGUAUUCGUGACACUGAUGGACAGUGCACUUGGGAGAAAUACUGAAUGAAGAAGGAAUUUUCAGAGAAGAACCUCCUCUCUGGCUUUUUUUCUUUUUUUCUAAGGAGAUUUUAUUUGUCUAUUCGAGAGAGAGGCAGAGACACAGGCAGAGGGAGAAGCAGGCUCCCUGUGAGGACUCGAUCCCAGGACCCCAGCAUCACGACCUGAGCCAAAGACAGACGCUCAACCGCUGAGCCGCCCAGGGCCCCUCCUCUCUGACUUAAUUUAAAAGUUUCUCUAGCUCUCCUGCCAUGAGAGGCUACAGCAGUGGAACAUAAAUCCUCAAGAGAAAAAGAACAGAACUGGAGUGAAAUCUCAGACUCUAAUUUCUACUUUUGCGAAUUUUUUUCCUCAGGAGAGAAACAAGCAAGAGAUGAUACUCCUUAAGUGUUAACGUUGGUGAUGUAUGUAAAUAGUGUUUUAGGAAGCCUCAGAAUAAUAGAUGGUUCUGGAAUAGCUUAGUUCUGUAAUUCCAACUUCUAUUCCCUUAGGGUGAUUUCCACAUCUGAGCCUUCUCUCAUUCCCUCCGCCCAGCUCCACCCUCCCAGUCUUGCAAUAUUCUUAAGAGAAACUGUGCCUCUGUUGAGGGGUGGGUGGGCUUUAAACUGUUGGUUCCCCCCAGGAACCUGAAAUCAACCCCCAAAAGUUCAUUCUUCCCUAAAAACUUUUGUCAAAUCCUAUGUAUUACCCCCCUCCCCCCUCCCCCAGACAGAACUGUGGUCUCUCCCACUUGCUCCCAGCUCUCUGUAAUCCCUUUUCAUGAAGUGGAGCCUUCUGAUACAGUCGGGGUCCCCUCACUCUUGCCCAAAUCUGACACCUAAUGAGAUUCAAGUUUCAUUUCUCAGGCACGGGAUCCCCCAAAUCUCUCACGAGCGGUAAACUCACAGCGAAAGGCCUGGCCAGGAAAACAGGCUCUCACUACAGACGCACAUAUAUCCAUCCUUAAACUUUUAAGUUGGAAACAUUUCCUGGAACCAUGUCUGGGUGCAAAACCAUGGGAAUGCUCAACACUAACACAUAGUUUUCCGAACCUAUAAUUAAGGCAUCGAAAGGUCAGAGGGUCUAGAGGAGAGCAUCCCGACGCUGAGAUUGUCCUUGUCAACCUUAGUUUUAGGAACCUCCUCCUGCGUGCCCUCAGAAUGGAUCAUGUUGCCCAAGAAACCACUUUUCUCCAAAAACCCCUCAAGGCAUCUGACUUCGAUUUAGAAAACCACUGCCAGAGAGCAGUUUGAACUCAUCGUUCAUUGUUUGAUUAUGUCAAAGCCUGCGUGUGAGUCAUUCCGCCAAUGUCUUACCUUCUCGGACUUUGUUUGUGGGUGAUUUGAAGACAAAGACUUUUCUGGAACCAGCCAUGUUCCCCCCACCCCACCCCAUACCUGGGCAAAUAUUUGGCCCUCCAGAUGUGUACCUCCCCUGCUUCCCAUGCUUUCCCGUGUUUUCUAUUAUGCAAGGCAGCUUUCCAAUCUAAUAUUUAUAUCAUCCUUUACAGUCUACACAGUGUUUUCACAACCGUAUUCCCAUUAGAUCUUUAGAACCUCAUUGUGAGAGAGGCGUGCACAGUGGCUCUUCUGCGGAUGCAGGAGCCGGGGCGAGCCUGGAGCAGGGACGUCCGCGAGCCCAGCGGCCCUGCCAGUGCCCCACGCCUUGGGGCCUCCAAGACAGAGCUGUUUCCAAGCUCAGACUUCUCACAAGCUAGACAGCCUCUGGGGUAAAGCAACUGGAUGUACUUCUGUCCUCAGAAAAGUGUAAAUAAAAACCCGAAGUGUC
Molecule: long non-coding RNA, 3016 nt
Filed under: Canis lupus familiaris (dog)
Lineage: Eukaryota; Metazoa; Chordata; Mammalia; Carnivora; Canidae
Description: lncRNA (ENSCAFG00845009277.1)
Source: RNAcentral